Molecule: ribosomal RNA, 456 nt
Filed under: Lachnospiraceae bacterium oral taxon 080
Lineage: Bacteria; Bacillati; Bacillota; Clostridia; Lachnospirales; Lachnospiraceae
Description: bacterial SSU rRNA
Rfam family: Bacterial small subunit ribosomal RNA
Source: RNAcentral
GAUGAACGCUGGCGGCGUGCCUAACACAUGCAAGUCGAACGGAGAAUUAUUGCCGAGGAGACUUCGGUCAAAUCAUAAUAAUUCUUAGUGGCGAACGGGUGAGUAACGCGUGGGGAACCUGCCUCACACCGGGGGAUAGCAGUUGGAAACGACUGGUAAUACCGCAUAAGCGCACAGUAUCGCAUGAUACAGUGUGAAAAACUCCGGUGGUGUGAGAUGGCCCCGCGUCUGAUUAGCUGGUUGGUAGAGUAAAAGCCUACCAAGGCGACGAUCAGUAGCCGGGUUGAGAGACCGGACGGCCACAUUGGGACUGAGACACGGCCCAGACUCCUACGGGAGGCAGCAGUGGGGGAUAUUGCACAAUGGAGGAAACUCUGAUGCAGCGACGCCGCGUGAGUGAAGAAGUAUUUCGGUAUGUAAAGCUCUAUCAGCAGGGAAGAAAGACUCGAAAGAGAG